GAUGAAGAACGCAGUGAAAUGCGAUACGUAGUGUGAAUUGCAGAAUUCAGUGAAUCAUCGAAUCUUUGAACGCACAUUGCACCUCUCGGUAUUCCGGGAGGUAUGCCUGUUCGAGCGUCAUUUGUACCCUCAAGCUCUGCUUGGUGUUGGGUGUUUGUUCCGCCUCUGUGUGUGAACUCGCCUCAAAACAAUUGGCAGCCGGCGUACUUGUUUCGGAGCGCAGCACAUUUUGCGAUCCAGAUCAACGUACAGCGGCAUCCAAGAAGCCUUAUUUAACGCUCUUGACCUCGGAUCAGGUAGGGAUACCCGCUGAACUCAAGCAUAUCAAUAAGCGGAGGA
RNAcentral lists this unclassified non-coding RNA (339 nucleotides) under soil metagenome. Its description in RNAcentral is "partial contains 5.8S ribosomal RNA, internal transcribed spacer 2, and large subunit ribosomal RNA". The stretch from base 1 to 120 matches the Rfam family "5.8S ribosomal RNA", at positions 35 to 154 of the family's 154-position model. The record is from RNAcentral.